Molecule: long non-coding RNA, 5307 nt
Organism: Numida meleagris (helmeted guineafowl)
Lineage: Eukaryota; Metazoa; Chordata; Aves; Galliformes; Numididae
Exons: 4
Source: RefSeq, a predicted model, not a curated record
CUAAACCGUCCUGCUUCGAUCGGCUCGGCUUGGCCAGGCCCGACCUGCCUCAGGCGUCAGUCCACUCCAUCCCCGUGUCACCGCUGGGGAGGCCUCAGGACGGAGGGGCCUCCUGUGGUGAAAGCUGCCCCCCGUAGCCCUACGCGUGCUAUCGCCUCGCACCGGCAGGCCCCCCAAUGUUGUUUUCCCUUGGCCCCAGCCGGAGAUAGCUAUUUUUAAAAUAAAGUCCGGUCAGUCGAGCCCAGUGGUACAUGUGCGAAUGGAAUGAGUCAUCGCCUCCACCCUUUUCCUCACCCACGUUCGAGGGCAGAAUAAGCGUCCUCCCUAGGGAGAGGCAGGCUGUGGGGCAGGAAGCGGAGAGGGACGGCAGCAGGUAUGGUUGGAGGCUGCUAGAAAUAGAGCGAGGUGUGUGGCAGGGCAGCGGAGAGGAACCCAGUCACUGAAGCUAAAAGUUGAGAUAAGGCACUUGAGCCACCUUCAGCACAAUAGCACAUUUAGGAACAGUGACUCCACCACUGCCUCGGGCAGCCUGCUGGAUAUUCCAGGUUGGAAUUAGGAAAAACUUGUCAGAAAGAGCGGUGAGGCACUGGCACAGGCUGCCCAGGGAGGGUGUGGAGUCACUGUCCCUGGAGGAGUUCAAGAACUGUGUGGAUGUGGCACUGAGGGACAUGGUCAGUGGCCAUGGUGGGCAUGGGAUUGCACUUGGCUGAGGUGAUCUGCGAGGUCUUUUCUGACUUUAAUGAUUCUGUGAAUACAUCUGAAUACUUUUCCAGCUACUGAAAUGGAUUACCUUUUCACCAGCCUUUUUGAACGAUCUCACACAUUCGAUUUUCCUUGAAAAGUCAACAGUAGUUGUGUCAUCACAGUUAGCUACAUACACUGUCAAACAAUGUUGCCAGAUCUCUGUAACAUCUUCUUCCUAAUCAUGACUGUAGAUCUGGCAGCGCCUGGCUUACUUUCUGAGGAGGGUGUUCUUGGACAAAGGCCUUGAGCUCAGUAAACCCUAGGUGCCAGCAGGACUGCUCUGCUCCGCCAGCAUCAAGGCCAUUGUGCUCCAUGUUCUGGCUCACUGUCGGUGGUAAAAUAAAUCCAGUUUAAAAAAGCGUUAAACCCUAAACUAUUCUUUAAAGUAACUCAAGCAUUCUCCCCAAAUACUUGGCAGUAUAGUUUUGGGCCUCUCUCCAAAGGCACUGAGCACUGUGAGAACAAGAUCAAAGUAACAAAGUCAAGAUGACAGCCAGGACAGAUCUAUGGAGCGUAGUAAGGGGCUGUGGAGAAGGAAUCUGAACAGCAAAUGAAGGAAAAAAUAAAUAGGGGAAAGUGCUGGAGGACAUUAAAUAGGGGAUGGUGUAUGGAGUUAAUGGCAGAGCAGAGGAUGUUGAGACUGGACAGUGUUGAAGAACAGCAAACAACAGAAUUCAGAAGGAGCCAGAAGGUGUUUGGCAACAAACAGAUUGAAAAAAAAUAGCUGAUAGAACUGAGAAGACGAAAGGAAGAUAAAAGGUGCCCAGCUGCUUCAUCCCUAGAGAGAAGUGAAGCUACACCGAGACAGAUCUGAUUCUCUGUUCCCAGAAGUACUUUGGAAGAAAUUAGCUUGGUUCAGGAAAACAGAAAAGAGCAGAAAUUUGAAUGGCUGACAAAAAAAGGUUCUCAGGGACAUGUAACAGACCUAUGAGAGCUGUGAAGAGCAGAUUUCAGGGUCGGUCUAUGGCUGUAACUUGUGGUUGAUCGCCUCAUGGGAACAAAAUGCAUAUCUCAUCUUGAGUGUAAAGGAUCUACAAAUAAAAACACAGUGAAAUAUACCCAACCUACUUUACAUCAGUUAACCCAACAGGAGGAUAUAUACACAUUGGGCUUCCUCGUAGAAUGGAUGGCAGAGGUGUGCCAUCCAUCACAGCAACUUUUUGGUACAUCACUCACACUUUAUGUGGCUACCAUAAACUAUUCUUUUCCAAAACAAAUAAUCCCAGUCCUGUCUCCUCCCCGCCAGGGACUGCUUUUCUAUGCUGAAAUCCUGUCUUUCUUAAAAUCAGUGGAAGUUUUGCCACUGAAUUUAAGUAGGGUCAACACUUUGCUGUUAUUUUUUAUCAUUUUAGUUAAUUAUUUUAUUUGAUUUCUAUAUCCUGGAUUUCACAGACUAUUCAGAUGAGCAUUCACUAUUUGUUUAAGUGAAGCAGUUAACUAUUUCCUUUUUUUUCUUCCCUUUUUAACAAAUCAAAAUAUUUGCUUUGCUUUUUGCCAGCAGAGCUAUGAGCAGUGUUCCCUCAGCCUCUUUGCUCUGAUUUGCAGUAUAUUGUAUGGUACAGAGGCGUGGAAUUGGAUUAAAAGCCACAGCACAGUGCUCUGCAGAUAAACCCACUGCAGGUGUGCAAUUUAAUAGGAUUUUAAUUUGGUAACAAGAGAACAAAGAGAGGAAACACAAAAUGGGAUUUUCUAGAUGAAAAAUUGCUACUCUUGCUGAGAGAAAGCAACUGGAAGCUCUAUGAUAAGGAGUGACGAUUAGGCCAAUGUUCUCCGAGUUGCCCUGUUACAUAUUACAGUUCACUCAGAGCAUCUUUGUUUGUGCCAUCAGUUCCAACAAUUCUUAGUUUAAACUAUUUGCACUCGGCUGGAUAGAGUUUAAUCUGCCAUGCUGUCCAUCAGGCCAGUUUGUUUAAAUCUUGUAUUGUCUCAUUCCCCUCCCUCUAUAUAUUUUUUUUUAUUAUAAAAAUAUUUUCAUUGGGAGAUGUCACCUGCAUGGAAUAUAUUCCAUUUGCAAGAUUAUUAACAGCUUUCAUGCUUCAAAUGAAAAAGUAUGUAUAUGCUGUGCUGCUCAAAAUACGUGUAAAAACAUGGUGUCUCUGCUGAGGAGUUUAAUUUAUAUUCAGCAUGAAGGAGAGGUGGGGGAUCAAAAACAGAUGGGGAAGGAAAAGGAAAAAUAAAGGCGGCAACCAAAAGAUCAUGAAGAGAUCUGCUAAGACACAGGCACAUAUUGCUGCUGAUGAUGCAAGGGCAAGCUUGGGAGAUUCUCUUCUGAUUUCUGUUACCGGUCCUCCCUCUCAUUUUUCCAGGGUUUCACAGCAGAACUGAGUUUUUAGCACUAAUUUCAAUGAGAUGCGGGUGGAGGUGCGAUGAACAGAUUUUUCCUGAGCAUAACAGGCUGUAGGGAAGGCACAGAAAUGCUUUGUGGGACAAGAUGAAAAAGAUACGGAGGUUGGUGUUGUUGGCAGAGGAUGAAGUGGAGGAUGGGAGCUACAGAGAGACACCAGACCCAAGAGAUCUGCAGAGGCUGUGUGAGGUGAAGGAUUUAAAGGAAAAAAAUCCAAAACACACCCUUGAUACACAGAGCAGUAAGUCAGGCAGCUGAAAUGCCAUCCAGGAAACAGCAGCUUGGCUGCUGGGUGCUGUUCAGGCUGCUGAGGGUUUGUAUACAGGUUCUGGCUGAAGGGGGAUUAGUAGGAGCAGGGACAGAUGGAUGCCUGGCAGAAUGGGAAGGUGAUCCAAAGUCACAGAAGACAAACUCUUUUGCAACGGGAAUCUACAGGGUAUCUAGUUCAGGGGAUCUACAGAGAUGGCAAUGUGAGCAAAGUGGUAGGUGGUGGAGAUGCUUUUGGAACUGCAUUUUUCAUCAAUCCAUGGAGUUAAGUAUGACACCCAAGGAGACAGAGCUGCAAUGGCUGAGGUGGGAGCUACCACCCAUUCGAAGGACACCAGUGCCAGAAAUGCCCACUCACUCUAUCAUAGCUCCUGAAAUCCUUCUGAGCUGCAGGUUCCAGUUUUUCAUCUCCAUCACUAGCUGCAGACACUUGAAGCACAGCAUCAGCAAGCUCUUUUUGGCUCUCUUUUUCAUUCCACCACUAUCAGCGUCUUGCACAUGGACUGGUGGAACCCAGGGUUUCAGGUCCUUUAGUUGGCAAAAUUUUCCUUUCUAAGCUCUUCCUAUACUUUCCCCAUCCUUCACUUUUUCCUUCCCUCCUUGACACCUUGGCAAGUCAUGCUACUACCCAUUUUGGGUUUUAUAGCCAUUUGCUCCUACUUUGGCACCACUUGUCCCUCACUCUAACCAGCCUUCCUCUGUUCUUGAGGUCACAUAAAAAUAUGCAAAACUUAUACAUUUAUUUAUAGGCACAUCACUUACACAAAACAAAACCUGUGUCAAAUCCUUGUCUGUUGUCACCUGUCUAAGAGCACUGCAGUUGUCAUAGAGGCCAUACAAAAGCCCCUACGGGCAGAGAUUCCUUGGCCAUACCCUGCAUCCAGCUCAGUUUUUUUUUUGAAGUUAAGGUGGUAUAGGAGGAUAGCUCAUUAUAGUGCAUUUCAAAAAUGAAAAUAGCUAUCCAACAUGCCCAUGACAUAUGUAAAACAUUCUUUUUGUCCCAUUUAUGCCCUUCUUCCCCUGAUUUUCAUUACUGAACUAGUUCUAGCAUAUCUCAUAUUUAAAAGCAAGUGUCUACCAAGAGUCUUUGUAAGUGGUAAAGAUGUUUUUCAAAACAGACAGUUUCCAGUCCUGGUCCUAGUUUAUGGAAGAUGAGUAAGUACAUCCUGGGAGGUGCAGGAUAAGCAGUAAAAUAACAACAGCAAGAUCACCUCAAAAAUAUUAUUUUCGUCAUUAAUAUUGUUGCCAUUACCAUUUGUUCUCCUCUGUGUUCUGGAAAACACAGUGUUCUCUGAGUCUUAAGUGCUGUUACUACACAGAAAAGAAAUCUGAAAACAGCUGAACAUACAAGUGAUUAAUAUAUCACUUGCAUUAACCGCAAAGGCUUGAUCUGUGUUCCAAUAUGUCCUAAGAUUUAGCCUUGUGUCCUAAGAAGACUCAGACAUUUCAUUUUCUACCAGCAUGUCAUCCCUUACGCUGCUAAUUGGAACUGACUGCAAGAAAGUCUGGCACAGCAGAAAGAUCUAAGGUGUUUCAUACUUCUGCAUCUUUUGAUAAAAGUAAUAGCUAGGUGGAGGAAAGAGAGUCUCUCAGUGCUCCCAGCAGUGAGAGGAGGCUAUGCUAUGCACUUUCUCUUGUGAUCAGUAAAUACCAUUUGGCCUGCUAACCCUCGAGCUGUGCCAAACCCAGCAGAACAAGGCUGCUCUUGCUUAGACAACACUUGGGGAACCUAAAGAAAAGAUGAAAGUCUUCUGGAAAAUGAAGGAAGAAUGGGGAAACUGUGGUGAGUGGGAGGUGGGCAAUGUGAAGGUUAUAAUCCCUUAACAAGGAUUGUGGGAGGAUGCCUUUUGGCUUGAGGUGUUGAUGACAUUGGACAUAAUUCCCUGCAAACCUAGAUUUCAUUAGAUCCACUUCACAAACAUAAAUAAACUAUGAAGUCUACAGCUCUCCUA